GACGAACGCUGGCGGCGUGCUUAACACAUGCAAGUCGAACGGAAAGGCCCUGCUUUUGUGGGGUGCUCGAGUGGCGAACGGGUGAGUAACACGUGAGUAACCUGCCCUUGACUUUGGGAUAACUUCAGGAAACUGGGGCUAAUACCGGAUAGGAGCUCCUGCUGCAUGGUGGGGGUUGGAAAGUUUCGGCGGUUGGGGAUGGACUCGCGGCUUAUCAGCUUGUUGGUGGGGUAGUGGCUUACCAAGGCUUUGACGGUUAGCCGGCCUGAGAGGGUGACCGGCCACAUUGGGACUGUGAUACGGCCCAGACUCCUACGGGAGGCAGCAGUGGGGAAUAUUGCACAAUGGGCGGAAGCCUGAUGCAGCAACGCCGCGUGCGGGAUGACGGCCUUCGGGUUGUAAACCGCUUUCGCCUGUGACGAAGCGUGAGUGACGGUAAUGGGUAAAGAAGCACCGGCUAACUACGU
This 467-nucleotide ribosomal RNA is filed under the name uncultured bacterium. RNAcentral's name for it is "partial 16S ribosomal RNA". It matches the Rfam family "Bacterial small subunit ribosomal RNA", at positions 28 to 506 of the family's 1533-position model. The record is from RNAcentral.